Molecule: ribosomal RNA, 43 nt
Filed under: Tricholoma sp. Ork2058
Lineage: Eukaryota; Fungi; Basidiomycota; Agaricomycetes; Agaricales; Tricholomataceae
Description: partial 28S ribosomal RNA
Source: RNAcentral
CCUCAAAUCAGGUAGACUACCCGCUGAACUUAAGCAUAUCAAU